Molecule: non-coding RNA, 32 nt
Filed under: Trypanosoma brucei brucei
Lineage: Eukaryota; Euglenozoa; Kinetoplastea; Trypanosomatida; Trypanosomatidae
Source: RNAcentral
AUACAACAAAAGAUGCCAUAGAUAAGAUAGAU